CUCACGCAGCCAUCUCUUCCUCACCCAUUCUUCCAUCCAAAAUCUGAGAAAAGAAAUCGCAAAUACCGUGAGUUCAACAUCCAAUCUGCUGUUAUUUUCUUAUCUUCUUCCACAAAGUUUGAGAGGAGAAACCGAGACUUAUCAUGAAAUCAAUUCUCCUGACUAGACAAUUUUCUCUUCCGAAGGGUGAACUUUUGCACGUUGUUGAGGUUGGGACAGGAAGUUGGUGGAGGAGCUAAGCUUUUGAGAUGGGCUUUCGUUUUAAAUAAGGACUAUGUCCUAAAUACUAUUUUAUGUGAAAGGAGGUGAAAAUUUGUUUGUCUUGCCAUGUUUUGUGUUUGAAUGAACCUAUCUGAAGUGGCUAUGCCAUGUAUGUUUAAUCGAAUUCGGGUCCCAGUAGGGCCGCAAACCCUGCUCGGACUAGUGUACACCCAGUAGAUCGUGCGCUAUCUCUUUGGAGUUGGCCGGUCUAGUGACUUGGUUCGUGGCCACGUUCCUUGUCAUGUAUGUUCAGAUAUGGUGAUGGUGAU
This is a long non-coding RNA of Salvia hispanica, 530 nucleotides long. RefSeq lists it as uncharacterized. NCBI's taxonomy places the organism in Eukaryota, Viridiplantae, Streptophyta, Magnoliopsida, Lamiales, Lamiaceae. The record is from RefSeq and is a predicted model, not a curated record.